This 69-nucleotide transfer RNA is filed under the name Vespadelus vulturnus (little forest bat). Its description in RNAcentral is "Eptesicus vulturnus (little forest bat) tRNA-Val". It matches the Rfam family "tRNA". From Rfam's summary of the family: Transfer RNA (tRNA) molecules are approximately 80 nucleotides in length. Lineage: Eukaryota; Metazoa; Chordata; Mammalia; Chiroptera; Vespertilionidae. The record is from RNAcentral.
CAAAGUGUAGCUUAAAUCAAAGCAUCUGGCUUACACCUAGAAAAUUUCAAACCAUACUGAACACUUUGA